AUGAACGCUGACAGAAUGCUUAACACAUGCAAGUCAACUUGAACUUCGGUUUGGGUGGCGGACGGGUGAGUAACGCGUAAAGAACUUGCCUCACAGCUAGGGACAACAUUUGGAAACGAAUGCUAAUACCUGAUAUUAUGAUUUUAGGGCAUCCUAGAAUUAUGAAAGCUAUAUGCGCUGUGAGAGAGCUUUGCGUCCCAUUAGCUAGUUGGAGAGGUAACGGCUCACCAAGGCGAUGAUGGGUAGCCGGCCUGAGAGGGUGAACGGCCACAAGGGGACUGGGACACGGCCCUUACUCCUACGGGAGGCAGCAGUGGGGAAUAUUGGACAAUGGACCAAGAGUCUGAUCCAGCAAUUCUGUGUGCACGAUGAAGUUUUUCGGAAUGUAAAGUGCUUUCAGUUGGGAAGAAAAAAAUGACGGUACCAACAGAAGAAGUGACGGCUAACUACGUG
Molecule: ribosomal RNA, 453 nt
Filed under: uncultured bacterium
Lineage: Bacteria
Description: partial 16S ribosomal RNA
Rfam family: Bacterial small subunit ribosomal RNA
Source: RNAcentral